This 267-nucleotide unclassified non-coding RNA is filed under the name Hevea brasiliensis (rubber tree). Lineage: Eukaryota; Viridiplantae; Streptophyta; Magnoliopsida; Malpighiales; Euphorbiaceae. The record is from RNAcentral.
CAUUAUGCCAUUGAUUGUGCUUUGGAUGAGGUUUCUAGACGUGUAGAGUUUGGGCUGUCCUGUCGUUGCAUAUUUGAGUAUAGCAAGAUUAAUACUCAAAUAAUCGUUAAUGCUGGAAUCCGGGAAGAUUCUAGUAGAAGAGUAGGUGGGGAUAGCUUUUCAGGUGCAGAUGCUUUUGAACCUGCAAAACUAGUUGAUUAUAUUAAAGCAUUAGGCCUAUUGCCAUUUGGUUUAAUUGACAGACUGGAAUUUGUAACAACACAGGCC